Molecule: ribosomal RNA, 732 nt
Filed under: uncultured bacterium
Lineage: Bacteria
Description: bacterial SSU rRNA
Rfam family: Bacterial small subunit ribosomal RNA
Source: RNAcentral
GAUGAACGCUGACAGAAUGCUUAACACAUGCAAGUCUACUUGAAGCUAACUUCGGUUAGUGGAUGGUGGCGGACGGGUGAGUAACGCGUAAAGAACUUGCCUCACAGAUUGGGACAACAUUUGGAAACGAAUGCUAAUACCGGAUAUUAUGAUACUUCUGCAUGGAAGAAUCAUGAAAGCUAUAUGCGCUGUGAGAGAGCUUUGCGUCCCAUUAGCUAGUUGGAGAGGUAACGGCUCACCAAGGCGAUGAUGGGUAGCCGGCCUGAGAGGGUGAACGGCCACAAGGGGACUGAGACACGGCCCUUACUCCUACGGGAGGCAGCAGUGGGGAAUAUUGGACAAUGGACCAAAAGUCUGAUCCAGCAAUUCUGUGUGCACGAUGAAGUUUUUCGGAAUGUAAAGUGCUUUCAGUUGGGAAGAAGCAAGUGACGGUACCAACAGAAGAAGCGACGGCUAAAUACGUGCCAGCAGCCGCGGUAAUACGUAUGUCGCAAGCGUUAUCCGGAUUUAUUGGGCGUAAAGCGCGUCUAGGUGGUUAUAUAAGUCUGAUGUGAAAAUGCGGGGCUCAACUCCGUAUUGCGUUGGAAACUGUAUGACUAGAGUACUGGAGAGGUAAGCGGAACUACAAGUGUAGAGGUGAAAUUCGUAGAUAUUUGUAGGAAUGCCGAUGGGGAAGCCAGCUUACUGGACAGAUACUGACGCUAAAGCGCGAAAGCGUGGGUAGCAAACAGG